CCCUUAGAUGUCCUGGGCCGCACGCGCGUUACACUGAUGCAUUCAACGAGCUUAUAACCUUGGCCGAGAGGCCUGGGCAAUCUUGUUAACGUGCAUCGUGAUAGGGAUAGAUUAUUGAAAUUAUUAAUCUUGAACGAGGAAUUCCUAGUAAACGCAGAUCAUCAAUCUGCGUUGAUUACGUCCCUGCCCUUUGUACACACCGCCCGUCGCACCUACCGAUUGGAUGGUCCGGUGAAGCCUCGGGAUUGUGGUUCUUGCCGCUUUAUUGUGGCGUGACCGCGAGAACUUGUCUAAACCUUAUCAUCUAGAGGAAGGUGAAGUCGUAACA
RNAcentral lists this ribosomal RNA (328 nucleotides) under uncultured eukaryote. Its description in RNAcentral is "partial 18S ribosomal RNA". It matches the Rfam family "Eukaryotic small subunit ribosomal RNA", at positions 1470 to 1796 of the family's 1831-position model. The record is from RNAcentral.